GCUCGCUCCAUCCUGACCGAAUGCACUGAUUGGCUGGCCGACUGUCACUCUCUCUCGCUGCCAUGGCGACCAGCCCUGCUGCUGCAGGAGCUGCCCGCAUGCGCGCGCCGGUCAGACCGCAGCUGAUGUCCGCGUGACUUUAACGGUUUUCCGACGCCAACAUCAGGUCACCUGCAGUCUUCCCAGUAUACGCUGACCGGACCCUGCUGGCUGGUCUGGAUCACAACCACCGUGUCCACAGACCAGCCAGGAGAAAAGCUGAUGACACAGUUCAGUACAGCAAGGUGUACAACAAAGUCCAGGAAGUGGAGCUUGUACUCAUUGAAGGUGGAGAAG
Molecule: long non-coding RNA, 336 nt
Organism: Micropterus dolomieu (smallmouth bass)
Lineage: Eukaryota; Metazoa; Chordata; Actinopteri; Centrarchiformes; Centrarchidae
Exons: 3
Source: RefSeq, a predicted model, not a curated record